UCCUUGACUUGCUCUGCAUGGUAGGCUCCCUGCACGUAUGUGCGGCCAACUAUCAUGGGGCUUGUCUUUUCAUUAACCCUUUGAUAAGCAUUACUGCUAUCUUAGGAUGUUUUCUUCUGGUGGCCUGUUUUGUUCUACCCAUGUUGGUAGCUUGAUUGACUUGUUUUGCAUCUCUAGCUUGCUUUGUUGAUGUUAUUCAUCAAUGGGCAGCCGAGUUGUUAGCAAAUUCCAUGUGUUGCCCAUGCUCUUGUGCCUUGGUGUUGCAUUUGGAUGUUUGCUGGUUCUCACGGAUAUUGUGCCAAUUGUGGGUUCUAUGGGCUUCAUGCUUGUAAACUCUGUGUGGUUGCCCUUGCACUGAUCAUUGCUUGCUAAGGUGUCUCGGACANGYUAUKGUCGUUUCCACGCCAUGCAUGGAGGGCCUCUUUUAAAUGCGCAAUGUGAUUAGUGCUUGUGGCGUGCCUSWWNGAUCAAUUGACU
This 477-nucleotide unclassified non-coding RNA is filed under the name Cyperus betafensis. RNAcentral's name for it is "partial external transcribed spacer 1f". Lineage: Eukaryota; Viridiplantae; Streptophyta; Magnoliopsida; Poales; Cyperaceae. The record is from RNAcentral.